UACGGAGGAUCCAAGCGUUAUCCGGAAUCAUUGGGUUUAAAGGGUCCGUAGGCGGUUUUUUAAGUCAGUGGUGAAAGCCCAUCGCUCAACGGUGGAACGGCCAUUGAUACUGCAAGACUUGAAUUAUUAGGAAGUAACUAGAAUAUGUAGUGUAGCGGUGAAAUGCUUAGAGAUUACAUGGAAUACCAAUUGCGAAGGCAGGUUACUACUAAUGGAUUGACGCUGAUGGACGAAAGCGUGGGGAGCGAACAGG
Molecule: ribosomal RNA, 253 nt
Filed under: uncultured bacterium
Lineage: Bacteria
Description: partial 16S ribosomal RNA
Rfam family: Bacterial small subunit ribosomal RNA
Source: RNAcentral